CGCCUCUAGAUUACUAUAUUAAAGGUCCAUCCUGCCCAAUGACAAAGUUUAAAUGGCCGCGGUACCCUGACCGUGCUAAGGUAGCAUAAUCAUUUGCCUCUUAAUUGGUGGCUAGUAUGAAUGGACACACGCAAGUACCCCUGUCUCAUCAGCAUAUAUAAAAAUUACCAAUCAGGUGAAGAGGCCUGAAUGAAAUAAAAAGACAAAAAGACCCUAUGGAGCUUUAUUUAACACCUCAAUGCCACCAGCUAACACCACCCCACUUUGAGCAAAUAAAUUUAGUUGGGGCGACUAAGGAAAACUAUAAAUCUUCCUCAUAAAAAAGAAAAUAAAUCCUCAUUGAUCCGUUAUACGAAUAAAGACACAGCUACCCUAGGGAUAACAGGCUAAUUCUUCUCGAGAGCCCAAAUUGACAGAAGAGAUUGGCACCUCGAUGUUGGCUUAGGGUUCCUACAGGGUGCAGAAGCCCUGUAAG
Molecule: ribosomal RNA, 475 nt
Filed under: Laonice sp. D GT-2019
Lineage: Eukaryota; Metazoa; Annelida; Polychaeta; Spionida; Spionidae
Description: partial 16S ribosomal RNA
Rfam family: Bacterial large subunit ribosomal RNA
Source: RNAcentral